This 620-nucleotide ribosomal RNA is filed under the name Lactococcus lactis. RNAcentral describes it as "bacterial SSU rRNA". It matches the Rfam family "Bacterial small subunit ribosomal RNA", at positions 73 to 683 of the family's 1533-position model. Lineage: Bacteria; Bacillati; Bacillota; Bacilli; Lactobacillales; Streptococcaceae. The record is from RNAcentral.
ACUUGUACCGACUGGAUGAGCAGCGAACGGGUGAGUAACGCGUGGGGAAUCUGCCUUUGAGCGGGGGACAACAUUUGGAAACGAAUGCUAAUACCGCAUAAAAACUUUAAACACAAGUUUUAAGUUUGAAAGAUGCAAUUGCAUCACUCAAAGAUGAUCCCGCGUUGUAUUAGCUAGUUGGUGAGGUAAAGGCUCACCAAGGCGAUGAUACAUAGCCGACCUGAGAGGGUGAUCGGCCACAUUGGGACUGAGACACGGCCCAAACUCCUACGGGAGGCAGCAGUAGGGAAUCUUCGGCAAUGGACGAAAGUCUGACCGAGCAACGCCGCGUGAGUGAAGAAGGUUUUCGGAUCGUAAAACUCUGUUGGUAGAGAAGAACGUUGGUGAGAGUGGAAAGCUCAUCAAGUGACGGUAACUACCCAGAAAGGGACGGCUAACUACGUGCCAGCAGCCGCGGUAAUACGUAGGUCCCGAGCGUUGUCCGGAUUUAUUGGGCGUAAAGCGAGCGCAGGUGGUUUAUUAAGUCUGGUGUAAAAGGCAGUGGCUCAACCAUUGUAUGCAUUGGAAACUGGUAGACUUGAGUGCAGGAGAGGAGAGUGGAAAUCCAUUUGUUAACGGGG